UGGGGAAUUUUGGACAAUGGGCGCAAGCCUGAUCCAGCCAUGCCGCGUGCGGGAAGAAGGCCUUCGGGUUGUAAACCGCUUUUGUCAGGGAAGAAAUCUUCUGAGUUAAUACCUCGGGAGGAUGACGGUACCUGAAGAAUAAGCACCGGCUAACUACGUGCCAGCAGCCGCGGUAAUACGUAGGGUGCAAGCGUUAAUCGGAAUACUGGGCGUAAAGCGUGCGCAGGCGGUUUUGUAAGACAGAGGUGAAAUCCCCGGGCUCAACCUGGGAACUGCCUUUGUGACUGCAAGGCUUGAGUGCGGCAGAGGGGGGAUGGAAUUCCGCGUGUAGCAGUGAAAUGCGUAGAUAUGCGGAGGAAACACCGAUGGCGAAGGCAAUCCCCUGGGCCUGCACUGACGCUCAUGCACGAAAGCGUGGGGAGCAAACAGGAUUAGAUACCCUGGUAGUCCACGCCCUAAAACGAUGUCAACUGGUUGUUGGGAAAGGUUCCUUCUCAGUAACGUAGCUAACGC
RNAcentral lists this ribosomal RNA (513 nucleotides) under uncultured bacterium. Its description in RNAcentral is "partial 16S ribosomal RNA". It matches the Rfam family "Bacterial small subunit ribosomal RNA", at positions 355 to 858 of the family's 1533-position model. The record is from RNAcentral.